ACCGAUUAACAAAUGCCAAAAUGAUUAGUUUUUGUGUAUCACUAGCCAAACAAUAUACAUACAAAAUCAUGAUGUAUCUCAAGCAAAUGGUUUUGUCUUAACUAGGAAUGCGCUGGUCCGAUACCACCGAAAAAUACGGGAAUCAGGUAUACCGGCAACAGCGAGUCAAUAUUGUAAUGAUCUGAUACCACGAACCAGAUUGUAAUAACAGUGUGCGGAAAACACGUGACCGCAGCUCAGAAUAGAAACCGAGGCAUCCCAAUUGGUUCCCUAUUUCCUAUAUAGUGUCAUACUAUUGGUCGGAGCCCUGGUGCACUACAGGGAAUAGGGCACCAUUUGUAACACACUCCGUCCAGAGAUCCCCAGGAACCAGAGGAGAGGGGGGCGAUGCUGCUGCAUCCCAGGGCAAGGCCUUUCAUCUGGAAGUAUUUUAGAAGUCUAUUUUGGUAUCCCGACCCUCGCCAGCCAACCUGACCGCCUCUCUGGAUUAUUCCCAACGUACUGCGGCUUCUGAUCUGCAUUCAUACCCAGUUAUCAACCUUCUUACUUCAUUCCAGGCUGUCCCUUUAUAUACCUUUGCUACUCCCUCAUAAAGGUCCUGCACUCUGAGCUUGGAUCCAUCCCCCCAUCCAACCUGCUCUGUGUGCAUUCAUUACAGAAUAUAUAAAAAAUAAAAAUGAUUUGCUAACAAAGAUAAUAUAAAAACAAUCUGAAAUUCUAUAAGAAUUAAAAUCAAUGAUGACAUUUAAAUCUGUCUAUGUCUCUCUUUGUCUUAUUCUGUUUCGGAUGCCUCCGGAACGCCUUCCUGGGAAGGUGUUCCGGUCCCGUCCCACCGGGAGGAGACCCCGGGGAAGACCUAUACAAAGUGAGAAAAAUUGUUGAGUGCAAAUGGUACAACGUGUCGUUGGAGGGACUAUGUCUCCCGGCUGGCCUGGGAACGCCUCGGUGUCCCCCCGGAAGAGCUAGAGGAAGUGUCUGGGGAGAGGGAAGUCUGGGCAUCCCUGCUUAGACUGCUGCCCCCGCGACCCGGCUCCGGAUAAGCGGAAGAAGAUGGAUGGAUGGAUGUCUUAUUCUGUCUUUCUCAGAGACCCAGAGGGGAAAUGGAGGAUGACCAGGGAGGCUGGAGACCCAGAGGGAUGAUGGCUCAAGAGGUUGAUAACUUAGAGGAAACUGGGUGGCAAGUUCAUUUUGAAUGGAAAACCAGUCCUGUUAAUUUUGAACAAAAAAACAAAACACCCAAAAAAUGCACAAGCUAGGUGCAGUUUGGUUCAGAACCCAGUUGUAAAGAUUGUGCUUGUAAGUGCAUGCUGCUUGCUGGCGUGGGUAUACACUAUGUAGAGGUGUGUCUGACUGGGUUGGGUCACUAUCAGACUCCUCUCUUCUGGCUGGGGAUUGAGAACCCCGGACAGCUGUUUGAACCCUCUUAGCAGCCACCGUUCUCUGGUCCCCACAUAAACACCCACACACUCCUUCCAAUGGCCAUUGCACACUCAAACCCUCCCCAGCCUUACUCAGAGAUAAAGGAAAGGAGAAAUGGUGGGGGAAAGCGAGAAUAAAAGAGAAAUCAGAG
This is a long non-coding RNA of Esox lucius (northern pike), 1570 nucleotides long. The record is from Ensembl. NCBI's taxonomy places the organism in Eukaryota, Metazoa, Chordata, Actinopteri, Esociformes, Esocidae.